GCGAGUGAACCGGGAAGAGCUCAAAUUUGAAAUCUGGCUGUCUUCGAUAGUCCGAGUUGUAAUCUAUAGAAGCGUUUUCCGUGCUGAACUGUGUAUAAGUCCCUUGGAACAGGGUAUCAAAGAGGGUGACAAUCCCGUACUUUACACAAUCAUCAGUGCUCUGUGAUACGUUCUCUACGAGUCGAGUUGUUUGGGAAUGCAGCUCAAAAUGGGUGGUAAAUUCCAUCUAAAGCUAAAUAUUGGCGAGAGACCGAUAGCGAACAAGUACCGUGAGGGAAAGAUGAAAAGCACUUUGGAAAGAGAGUUAAACAGUACGUGAAAUUGUUAAAAGGGAAACGAUUGAAGUCAGUCGUGUUUAUUGGAUUCAGCCGGUCUUCGGUGUACUUCCUUUAAACGGGUCAACAUCAGUUUUGUCCGGUGGAUAAAGGCAGUAGGAAUGUGGCUCCCUCGGGAGUGUUAUAGCCUAUUGUCACAUACACUGGAGGAGACUGAGGACUGCAGCUCGCCUUUUGGCCGGGGUUCGCCCACGUUCGAGCUUAGGAUGUUGACAUAAUGGCUUUAAACGACCC
This 569-nucleotide ribosomal RNA is filed under the name Apiotrichum laibachii. RNAcentral describes it as "eukaryotic LSU rRNA". It matches the Rfam family "Eukaryotic large subunit ribosomal RNA", at positions 89 to 650 of the family's 3401-position model. Lineage: Eukaryota; Fungi; Basidiomycota; Tremellomycetes; Trichosporonales; Trichosporonaceae. The record is from RNAcentral.